CCUUGAACUGCAGCUCAGAAGGCUGGGAGGCCUUUGGGGGAAGCUGCUACCUCAUCUGUGAGACCUCACAAAACUGUGGUGGCAAACAACCCAAAUGCAAAGAAUGUUCAGACUGUGACCGGGAGAAACAUGGGACCUGGAACUGCAGCCAACGGGAAUGUUCCUGCAACGGGGCUGACCUUGUGACCAUCGACAGCAGACAGGAGCUGGAAUUUCUCCAGAGCAGAUUAAGACCAUCGGGAUGUUAUUACUACAUCGGUCUCAACAAAAUCCAAGACCAGUGGCAAUGGAUCAAUGGCGAGCCUCUGAUAGAGAGCAGGGUGCCGCUGAAAAAUAUCAAUAAAACAGAAACUAGAGA
Molecule: long non-coding RNA, 358 nt
Organism: Ornithorhynchus anatinus (platypus)
Lineage: Eukaryota; Metazoa; Chordata; Mammalia; Monotremata; Ornithorhynchidae
Exons: 3
Source: RefSeq, a predicted model, not a curated record